UUAAGGGUGCAGGGCGGAUGCCUUGGCACUAGGAGCCGAUGAAGGACGUGAUAAGCUGCGAUAAGCUUCGGGGAGUUGCACGUAAACUUUGAUCCGAAGAUUUCCGAAUGAGGAAACUCACUUAGAGUAAUGUCUAAGUAUCAUUAAGUGAAUACAUAGCUUAAUGAGGGGAACUCAGGGAACUGAAACAUCUAAGUACCUGAAGGAAGAGAAAGAAAUUCGAUUCCGUAAGUAGCGGCGAGCGAACGCGGAUUAGCCCAAACCAAUAAAGUUUUCUUUAUUGGGGUUGCGGACAUAUCAUAACGAAGAGGUAUCGUAAUUGAAGAGGUUUGGAAAGACCCACCACAGAAGGUAAUAGUCCUGUAUGUUAAACGAGAAGACUUUAGAUAUGAUCCAGAGUACCACGGGACACGUGAAACCCUGUGGGAAGCAGGAGGGACCACCCUCCAAGGCUAAAUACUACCUAGUGACCGAUAGCGUAUAGUACCGUGAGGGAAAGGUGAAAAGAACCCCGGGAGGGGAGUGAAAUAGAACCUGAAACCCUGCACUUACAAGCUGUGGAAGCACAUUUCUUGUGUGACCGCGUACUUUUUGUAGAACGGGCCAACGAGUUACGUUAAGUAGCAAGGUUAAGCACUUAAGGUGCGGAGCCGUAGCGAAAGCGAGUUUUAACUGAGCGUUCAGUUACUUGACGUAGACCCGAAACCGGGCGACCUACCCAUGAGCAGGAUGAAGCGAAAGUAAAAUUUCGUGGAGGUCCGAACCCACGAGCGUUGAAAAGCUCGGGGAUGACUUGUGGGUAGCGGUGAAAUUCCAAUCGAGCCCGGAGAUAGCUGGUUCUCCCCGAAAUAGCUUUAGGGCUAGCCUCAAGGUGAGAGAUACGGAGGUAGAGCACUGAAUGUCCUAGGGGGUAUUGCACCUACCGAAGACUAUCAAACUCCGAAUGCCGUCAUCUUAUACUUGGGAGUCAGACUGUGGGUGAUAAGAUUCAUAGUCGAAAGGGCAACAGCCCAGAUCGUCAGCUAAGGUCCCUAAAUGUAAGUUAAGUGGUAAAGGAUGUGGGAUUGCACAGACAACCAGGAUGUUGGCUUAGAAGCAGCCACUCAUUCAAAGAGUGCGUAAUAGCUCACUGGUCGAGUGAUCCUGCGCCGAAGAUUUCCGGGGCUAAAACUUACUACCGAAGCUACGGCAUCAGUAAUGAUGGGUAGGGGAGCUUCCCAUACGGGUUGAAGCAUGACCGUAAGGACAUGUGGACAGUAUGGGAGUGAGAAUGUUGGCAUGAGUAGCGAGAUGUGGGUGAGAAUCCCACAGGCCGUAAACCCAAGGUUUCCAGGGGAAGGUUCGUCCGCCCUGGGUUAGUCGGGACCUAAGCUGAGGCCGAAAGGCGUAGGUGAUGGACAACAGGUUGAUAUUCCUGUACUACCGAUAACCGUUUGAGAGAAGGGAUGACACAGUAGGAUAAGCUAAGCACACUGUUGGUUAUGUGUGCCCAAGCAUUGAGGCAGUCAAAGUAGGCAAAUCCGCUUUGAUAAUGCUGGGAUGUGAUGGGGAGCGAAAUUUAGUAGCGAAGUAGCUGAUUUCACACUGUCAAGAAAAGUCUCUAUCGAGGUUAAAGGUACCCGUACCGCAAACCGACACAGGUGGGUGAGGAGAGUAUCCUAAGGCCAGCGAGAGAACUGUUGUUAAGGAACUCGGCAAAAUGACCCCGUAACUUAGGGAUAAGGGGUGCCACCAUCAGGUGGCCGCAGAGAAUAGGCCCAAGCGACUGUUUACCAAAAACAUAGGUUUCUGCUAAGUCGCAAGACGAUGUAUAGGAGCUGACGCCUGCCCGGUGCUGGAAGGUUAAGGGGAUCUGUUAGAGCAAUCGAAGCAGUGAACUUAAGCCCCAGUAAACGGCGGCCGUAACUAUAACGGUCCUAAGGUAGCGAAAUUCCUUGUCGGGUAAGUUCCGACCCGCACGAAAGGCGUAACGAUUUGGGCACUGUCUCAACAACAGACUCGGUGAAAUUGUAAUUCCGGUGAAGAUGCCGGAUACCUGCGACAGGACGGAAAGACCCCAUGGAGCUUUACUGUAGCUUGACAUUGGGUCUUGGUACUACAUGUACAGGAUAGGUGGGAGGCUUUGAAACCAGGACGCCAGUUUUGGCGGAGCCAUCCUUGGGAUACCACCCUUGUAGUACUGGGACUCUAACCAUAGGCCAUGAAUCUGGUCUUGGGACACUGUCAGGUGGGCAGUUUGACUGGGGCGGUCGCCUCCCAAAAGGUAACGGAGGCGCUCAAAGGUUCUCUCAGUACGGUCGGAAAUCGUACGUAGAGUGUAAAGGCAAAAGAGAGCUUGAUUGCAAGACAUACAGGUCGAGCAAGGAUGAAAAUCGGACUUAGUGAUCCGGUGGUUCUGCGUGGAAGGGCCAUCGCUCAACGGAUAAAAGCUACCCUGGGGAUAACAGGCUUAUCUCCCCCAAGAGUCCACAUCGACGGGGAGGUUUGGCACCUCGAUGUCGGCUCAUCACAUCCUGGGGCUGUAGUAGGUCCCAAGGGUUGGGCUGUUCGCCCAUUAAAGUGGUACGCGAGCUGGGUUCAGAACGUCGUGAGACAGUUCGGUCCCUAUCCGUCGCAGGCGUAGGAAAUUUGAGAAGACCUGUCCUUAGUACGAGAGGACCGGGAUGGACGUACCUCUGGUGUACCAGUUGUCCUGCCAAGGGCAUGGCUGGGUAGCUAUGUACGGAAUGGAUAAGCGCUGAAAGCAUCUAAGCGCGAAGCCAACUUCAAGAUAAGAUUUCCCACCGCAAGGGUAAGACCCCAGAAAGACUAUCUGGUUGAUAGGUCGAAGGUGUAAGUGCAGCAAUGUAUUUAGCUUAUCGAUACUAAUAGGUCGAGGACUUGACC
This 2886-nucleotide ribosomal RNA is filed under the name Clostridioides difficile. Its description in RNAcentral is "bacterial LSU rRNA". It matches the Rfam family "Bacterial large subunit ribosomal RNA". The record is from RNAcentral. Lineage: Bacteria; Bacillati; Bacillota; Clostridia; Peptostreptococcales; Peptostreptococcaceae.